GCCUUUUAACUUGCAAGUCGAAACGGCAGCAUGAUCUAGCUUGCUAGAUUGAUGGCGAGUGGCGAACGGGUGAGUAAUACAUCGGAACGUGCCCUGUAGUGGGGGAUAACUAGUCGAAAGAUUAGCUAAUACCGCAUACGACCUGAGGGUGAAAGUGGGGGACCGCAGGGCCUCAUGCUAUAGGAGCGGCCGAUGUCUGAUUAGCUAGUUGGUGAGGUAAAGGCUCACCAAGGCGACGAUCAGUAGCUGGUCUGAGAGGACGAUCAGCCACACUGGGACUGAAACACGGCCCAAACUCCUACGGGAGGCAGCAGUGGGGAAUUUUGGACAAUGGGCGAAAGCCUGAUCCAGCAAUGCCGCGUGUGUGAAAAAGGCCUUCGGGUUGUAAAGCACUUUUGUCCGGAAAGAAAUGGCUCUGGUUAAUACCUGGGGUCGAUGACGGUACCGGAAGAAUAAGGACCGGCUAACUACGUGCCAGCAGCCGCGGUAAUACGUAGGGUCCAAGCGUUAAUCGAAAUUACUGGGCGUAAAGCGUGCGCAGGUGGUUGUGCAAGACCGAUGUGAAAUCCCCGAGCUUAACUUGGGAAUUGCAUUGGUGACUGCACGGCUAGAGUGUGUCAAAGGGGGGUAGAAUUCCACUUGUAGCAUUGAAAUGCGUAAAGAUGUGGAGGAAUACCGAUGGCAAAGGCAGCCCCCUGGGAUAACACUGACGCUCAUGCACGAAAGCGUGGGGAGCAAACAGGAUUAAUACCCUGGUAGUCCCAC
This 765-nucleotide ribosomal RNA is filed under the name bacterium enrichment culture clone aHCH2_C10. RNAcentral's name for it is "bacterial SSU rRNA". It matches the Rfam family "Bacterial small subunit ribosomal RNA", at positions 46 to 798 of the family's 1533-position model. The record is from RNAcentral.